This is a long non-coding RNA of Macaca mulatta (Rhesus monkey), 1155 nucleotides long. The record is from Ensembl. Lineage: Eukaryota; Metazoa; Chordata; Mammalia; Primates; Cercopithecidae.
GCCCAGAAGAGUGCCCAACACAUAGUGAACCCUAUAUAAGUAAGGCAAGCUUAUCCAACCUGUUGUCUGUGGGCUGCAUGCAGCCCAGAAUGGCUUUGAAUGUGGUCCACCACAAAUUCAUAUACAUUCUUAAAACAUGAUGAGACUUUUUUGUAACUGUUUAGCUCAUCAGCUAUCAUCAGUGUUAGUAUGUAUGGCCUAAGACAAUUCUUCUUCCAAUAUGGCCCAGGGAAGCCAAAAGAUUGGACACCCCUGAUGUAAGGGGUAGAUGGCAUUAUUAUUCUUAUCCAUCCCUCCAGACCCUGCUGAAGGAAGGGACCCCUGGAUCAGUGGAGAGCACCUUAACCCUGACCCCUUCCAGCAAUGAUGAUGGAGCCACCUUGGUCUGCAGGGCCCGGAGCCAGGCCCUGCCUGCAGGAAGGGACACAGCUAUCACACUGAGCCUGCAGUACCCCCCAGAGGUGAUUCUGUCUGCUUCACCACACACUGUGCAGGAGGGAGAGAAGGUCACUUUCCUGUGCCAGGCCACAGCCCAGCCUCCUGUCACAGGCUACAGGUGAGGACGAAGACCACCUCUCCCUAGCCCCAAGAGUGAGCUUGGGAAGGGCUGGGACCUGAGUAGGUGUGCCGGAGAGCAGGGACAAGGGUAACAGCGCCACCAUUUCCUCAGGUGGGCAAAAGGGGGCUCCCCGGUGCUCGGGGCCCGCGGGCCCAAGUUGGAGGUCGUGGCAGACGCCUCGUUCCUGACUGAGCCCGUGUUCUGCGAGGUCAGCAAUGCCGUGGGUAGCGCCCACUGCAGCACUGCGCUGGAUGUGCUGUUUGGGCCAAUUCGCAGGCAAAGCCAGAGCCCCUGUCCGUGGACGUGGGGGAAGACGCCUCCUUCAGCUGCGCCUGGCGCUUGAACCCGCUUCCACGGGUAACGUGGACCCGCCGCGGUGGCGCGCAGGUGCAGCCCUAAAUCUGAGGUGGUGGCUGGCGGGGAACCAGGCUUCCUUGCAAAUCCGGCUUCUGACGUCCCUUCCCUGUCGCAGGUGCUGGGCUCUGGAGCCACAUUGCGCCUUCUGUCGGUGGGACCGGAGGAGGAAGGCGACUAUGUGUGCAGGGCUGAGCCUGGGCUCUCGGGCCAGUGGGGCGGCGCCGCGGAGGCUCGGCUGA